AUAACCUACGGGACGCAGCAGUGGGGAAUAUUGGGCAAUGGGCGCAAGCCUGACCCAGCAACGCCGCGUGAAGGAAGAAGGCUUUCGGGUUGUAAACUUCUUUUAUCAGGGACGAAGCAAGUGACGGUACCUGAUGAAUAAGCCACGGCUAACUACGUGCCAGCAGCCGCGGUAAUACGUAGGUGGCAAGCGUUAUCCGGAUUUACUGGGUGUAAAGGGCGUGUAGGCGGGAGUGCAAGUCAGAUGUGAAAACUCAGGGCUCAACCCUGAGCCUGCAUUUGAAACUGUGUUUCUU
Molecule: ribosomal RNA, 295 nt
Filed under: uncultured bacterium
Lineage: Bacteria
Description: partial 16S ribosomal RNA
Rfam family: Bacterial small subunit ribosomal RNA
Source: RNAcentral